CUCUGUGGUGGGCUCUUCCAUGCACUGCGGAUGGUUAGCAGCCUCCUUGGUCUCCAUCCCUUAGAUACCAGUUGAAGCCACUGUUGUGAAAACCAAAAACACCUCCAGAUACUGCCUUAUAGGGACAACAUCUCUCCCACUUAAGAAUCACUAAGGAGUAGGGUACCAAGGCACACAUCCGUACUCCCAGCUACUCUGGAGGCUGAGGCAGGAGGAUUACAAGUUCAAGGCCAGCCUCAGCAACAUAGUGAGAGCCUGUCUCAAAAUAAAAAAUAAAAAGGGCUAAGGAUGUAAGUCAGUGGUAGAGCACAGCUGAGUUCAAUCCCCAGUACAAGAAAAAAAAAAAAGAGAGAGGGAAGGGAAGGUUUUGAUCCUCCUGCUGGGUCCUUCUCAUGGAUAACUGUGGACACUUAGGAAUUCACAAACCUGGAGGAAUCCUUGCAGACCACUAUCCUCCUGAACCAUCCCCGCGUGCCUACACCAUCUCCGGAAGUUUAAACACAUCUUUGUUACAACUGACUGGCUAAAGCCAUCUGGUUUUUAUGACCCCCAGCCUGACUUCUGAGCCCAGCCCCAGAAUGCAGUACUUUGAGCCGCCGAGUGUAACUAAAAUCCCAACCAUCUAUGCGACAAUGCCGUUGCCAGAAGACAUUCACUGUCUCUUACAGCUUGAAAGUAUCCCCCUAACAGGGCUUAAUGGAGUGUACCCACCAAGUGGCAGGCAUGGUCAUUGUCCCCUGUGGAAAUAGGACCCUGUGGGGUGGAUCACUCACUGGUGCUCUCCUGUGGUUCCUGGAGGGGAAGGAUGUAAUCUUCCUGCUGGAACUUAAGAUUUCUAAGGGGGAAGACAUUUUACAAUUUCAACAGCC
Molecule: long non-coding RNA, 869 nt
Filed under: Marmota monax (woodchuck)
Lineage: Eukaryota; Metazoa; Chordata; Mammalia; Rodentia; Sciuridae
Source: RNAcentral